This 77-nucleotide transfer RNA is filed under the name Elusimicrobia bacterium HGW-Elusimicrobia-1. Its description in RNAcentral is "tRNA-Met". It matches the Rfam family "tRNA". Rfam says of the family: Transfer RNA (tRNA) molecules are approximately 80 nucleotides in length. Lineage: Bacteria; Pseudomonadati; Elusimicrobiota. The record is from RNAcentral. RNAcentral also lists the same sequence under 1 other name.
CGCGGGGUAGAGCAGCCCGGUAGCUCGUCAGGCUCAUAACCUGAAGGUCGUGGGUUCAAAUCCCACCCCCGCAACCA